AUUUAAAUAGUUUAAUAAAAAUAUUGAUUUGUGGAGUCAAAGUUAUAGUAAUAGAUAUAUUUUAAAUA
This 68-nucleotide transfer RNA is filed under the name Cucujoidea sp. 9 KM-2017. RNAcentral's name for it is "tRNA-His". Lineage: Eukaryota; Metazoa; Arthropoda; Insecta; Coleoptera. The record is from RNAcentral.